AUUAAUCAAACGAAUAAGUUCGUUAAAGACCUCGGGAUAGUUUUGGACCUUAAGGCCCAAUGGGCUUCGAAAGUCAAGCCCAUUGACUUAAGUUGUAUGACAACUUAAUGAAUAAAGAUUCACAAAGGCCCAAAAGCCCAAAAAUCCAUAGGUAGGCCGGCCAUGAAGAUGAAUUAGGGUUUUUUUGGUUGUUUUAGGUCACUUAAAGAAGUGACUAUAUAAAUGACUUUAUAGCCAAAUAUUCAUAAUGUGAUUAAGGGUUUAUUUUGGGUGAAAAUGGGUGAGAUUGUCUCUCCAUUUUCUCUCUAAAGAAGCUAACACCUUGGAGGGUACAUCUAGCAAUCCUACUACUCCAAGGUCACUCAUUUCUUCUACAAUCAAACCUUGGUGAAGAGACUUAGAGGUUCUCAAUUUUGGGAACUUAGAGAACCUAUUCUUCCAUCCAAAUCCAUGGAUCUAAGAAGCAAGGAAUGAAGGCCCUAUCUCUUUGGGUGAUUAGCCUUUGCUUAUGCAAAGAGGAAUCUACAAAGGUAUUAAUUUCAACUCACUUUGUUUUGAGUUGAUUAUUGGUUCACCAAUCUACUAGGCUUUGACUUUCAUGGUAAUGUUUUGUUUUUGAGUGCAUGCAAGCAUGAUUCCGCCUUUUAACUGUUAAUUGCAUGCUAUAUGAUGUUGCUCAAAUGAACAUGUUUUUCAAAAUAAAUCCUUCAAGUGGUAUCAGAGCCUAGGUCUAGUAGUUGGUGAAUCCUUUUGGGUUUUGUAGUUCAUAAGUUUAUGAUUUAAAAGUUGUAAUUGUUACAAGCUUUAUUCUUGCUUCUUUGAAUGUAAAUUUUGUUUGAAAAUUUGCCAUCUCAAAUGUUUGUAGAUGUAGUUCAUAUGAGCAUGAAUAUUGGAGCUAAAAUUUGGUGCCAUGAUUUUGGGAAUUUUUCGGCCAAAUCCAAAGGGUGAUUUUUUGGGUUCAUGUUUGUCUUGUUAAAAUGGUUUUAAGGUGACUUUUGGAACCCCUAAGUACCCUAGGAUGUUAGCCUCAUUUUGAAUGAUAAAAAUUUGAGUUUUUAUUGCAUGAAAACAUUCAUGGAGCUCUUAUGGGUUUUCAUGGAUGUUCUUCAUAUGUUCUUGAUGUUCUUGCCAAGAACACAAAGGUUUGUGUUUUGAUUCAAAGUUUUGAUUUAUUUCAUAAAGUUUAUGAUAUAUGUUUUUCAAAUGAUUUAUCAUGUAUUUAAAGUGUUAAAUAUUUGUAUAAAUGAUGAUGGAAACAUCAAUCAUCAAAACAUAUAUUAUUUUUUAUGAAAGUAUUUAAAGUGUUAAAUAUUUGUAUAAAUGAUGAAAGAAAUAUCAAUCAUCAAAACAUAUAUUAUUUUUAUGAAAGGUGAAAGCACUACUUGAUUGUUUUUGACAAAACUAAUAAAUCAAAACACCCACCACUCAUUUUUAUCCCUAAAAACCGGCCACCCUAAUAAAAUAGGGUAUUUUUGGGGCUUUUAUGCAAUUACAUAAAGUUUUGAUAUUUUUGUGUAUUUGUACUUUGACCCGAAAGUUUACGUUUUGACGUUAAGGCCUAAAAACGCUAAAGGACAAAUUGUUUUUGCUCCUUUAAUGAAGUUUUUGAAUUUAUUUAAAUUUUGGGUUCUAGUUGUAUUUACAUGAAGUAGUGACUUUUGUGUUUUUACAAAGUGACCCCAAAAGUUUAUGUUUUCGCAAUAUGGCCCAAAAAGUUGUGGUUAUUGCAUGAUGGCCCAAAUAGGAUGAGAACAAAAUUGUUUUGUCUCUUUAAAUGAGAAUUGGAUUUUCAUUUUGUUUAGCUCCACUUAAAUCAAUUUUAUGGAUACAAAAACCAAAUGAAAAUGUUGCAUUCAAUUAAUUAGUUAAAGCGUUAAUUAAUUAAAGGAUGAUUAUGAACCUAAGCCUAAUAUAAUUGAGCUAUGUGAAAGGCGUUUCAAAUUUGUUUGAACCAUGGGAAUGUGUAGAUUAGAUUUUGGUUGUAAUUUGAUUUGAUCAAAUGUUGUAAAAGGGCAUAAGUCCUUCUUUACUUUAAGGUAAUUUGUUUUAUGCAAAUGUUGUAAUGAGCAUAAGCUCAUCCUUUACUUUGAAGUAUUUCUUUCUUGCUUUAUAUGAUAUGCAUGAAAAUGAAGUAAUUGGGUCCAACGCCCCUAAGACAACACGCCUUAAUGUGAUUAAACGCGUAACUAAAAUCAAUCUCCAUCCCUAGACCGAGAUUCAACACAAGGCUCGUGUUGAAUCUAAACAAAGGUUCAUAGUCAUCCUAAGGCCCUAAGGCAACUAUAUAGUCCAUCAAAUGAAUGCAAACCUUAUGUUAGUAGUAACAUAUACUCUUGCUUUAAAAACUGUUUUAAAAGCAUAGCGGGAGUAUUAUGUACAACUAAAACAAUCAUAUGGACCAAUAGUUGUAAUAGGACCAAAAUUGUUUUAAUAGAGAUUAAAAUGUAUAUUGAUAUGUGAUGAGACCUAAAACCCUCAACCAAACCAUUAUUAAGUUGAUAAGCGUGAGAGUGCUUAGAACACUCUUUCGUGGCCUUCCACCGUGGUGGGCUUCAAUCGUUUGUGACUCGUACAAUGUAUUCGUCCAGUUCUGGGGUUGCAAAGUAUGUGCUUACAUUCAGGAGAAGCCUAUAAACAUAUGAUGAAGUGAAAGGUAGGCAACGAGUGUGGCCAAUAUGGAGUUCUUCUGAGGCCAUUCUUAAACCCCUACUUGAACUAGCAUGGAGGGAAUGACUUAACUAAGUGCAAUGGUGCCAAUAUGGAGUUCUUCUGAGGCAUCAUUCUCUAGUGGCCAAACAAGAUGGGUACUUGCAUUAGUUGCAAAUGAGUAAGCGUACUCUCUCAUUAUUAUUGUUGCUAGCCAAUAUGGAGUUCUUUCUGAGGUGGGCUUGGUAAUAGUGAGCCUCCCAUAACCUACUAAGAGUUUCAUCCAAAACUCUCGAAUUCCAAUGAGGGAUAUGGAAUUUGCCAAAAAUAGUGGGUGGUGCUAUUUUGAUUUAAAGACCCGAAUCAAAUGGCUUAAAAUCAAUCAAUUUAUAUUCGUUAUGUAUUUGAUUUACCAAUAUAUUUGCAAACGCUAUCCAACACUUGACAAAUAAAAGCCGAACGUUUAGUUUACGGACUUGGUACUACAAAACCAUAGAUUGUCUUUAAUGGCUUGUAAAUGUACCUAAGUAGUCUCAUCCUCACAAUCUUCCUAUUGAUAAUGUAUCAUUAGAAGAAUAUGUUAGAAAAGGUCUAUCAUAGAAGAGGACAACACUUUUAAUGUCAUAAUUCUUCAAUUACAAAUUGUUGUAUGAAGAAAGAAAUAAGAGUUGCUUUGAACAACCCUUAGUCAAUGCAAACACUUAGUGCUUAUUUCUUUGUUAAUUGAACAAAGAACUUGAGAAGUAAAGCACAAGGGCAUGGACACUUUAUGUGCCAUGAUUCUUCACUUACAAUUUGUUGUGUGAAGAAAUAAGAGUUGCCUUGUACAACUCUUGAAAGUUUGUAAUUAUGUUUAGAACAUAAUGGUUGGUUGACAAAAAUAGUCCAUUAACAUGGACUUAUGAUGAUUUUGAAUCAUUGAGUGUUGAAGUGUUAAACCACUUAACGAGACGGAAACUAGGCAAGGACUUCACCUUUGUUUCCCCUAUCCUAAUGGUUCACUAAGUUUAUGGUAAACUAUGUAGUGAACAAUAACCACAUACUCUCCAAAUUGUUUGAUGUGUAUAACACAAUUGAAAAAGGUUUCAAGAGAGAUAGUGGGAGUUUAGGGACCAUGACUAAUGUAGUCAAAAGGUGAAAGUCAAAUAAAGAAGAUAAAUAACUCCAAGGGAACAAACUUUCUUUAUGAAAGGAUGGACAUUGGAAGGGGUAUUUGCAAGAAAUGUCUUGCAAGUGUCAAGAACACACCUUUCGAAGGUGUUGUAAAUUGUUCUUGAAUAGUUCAAAACAGUUGGUUCUUCUACUUGAAUGUAUGAUUCCGUAUUAGUAACUAUGUUUUACAAAUCGUUGUAAAAGUGUGACUAAUAAGAAGUAGAAGAUAUAUGAGAGAAGAAAAGGUGCUUCACAUACGGAACGUGAAUAAGAUAUAGAUCUCUGUGAAAGCAGAUAGUACUUACUUCCUCAUAUGAACUACCAAAGAAAUUGGAUUAUAGUAAUCUAAUUGAUUGUCUCUAUAGUAGAGAUGAUAUGGUAGUGUUAACUGUUUAGAAUAUAAUGAUGCUUAAAACCCAAAAGGUUGCAAGGUAGUGACUAAUCCCAACUAAAUUGUGAUACCUCUAAAACAUAAAGUUACGAGUUGGUGAAACAAGGAUGCUUUGGAUCGUUAGAUCCGGAUCCAAUACCUUCUUGUUAAAAUUGUAUAGAGGCGAAAUGUUCGAAUCUUUAUUCUUUUGGAAAGAAGAAAGAAUCACAAAAGUUGUUGAGGUUAAUUCACUUAGAUGUUAGUGGCACUUGUCACAACAUAAUACUACUCAUGUUAUAUGACAUUCACCGAAGAUCACUCUCGGUUGGACUAUAGUUUAUUUUGAAUAAACACAAGUCCGAAUACUUUGCAAAAAGGUUUCAAAGAAUUCAAGAAAUGUAAAUAGAUGAGUAAGAUAUCUAAAGUAUUUACCUCCUUAGAUUUGAUCCAAGGAAAGGUAACACUUUAGAUGAGUUUCCUUGAAUGAUAUCAAGGAAAAUAGCAUCAUAAGAUAAUGUAUUUCUCCAUUAGGAGAAGAACGAACUAAAAUAAGAUUUAGUUCGUUAGAUGUUAUCUAUUACCCAUAUAUAGGAUAUAUACUUCUAAAACAAUAUGAUUGUCAAUUAGAAGAUCUUCCAAAAUUUUCAUAACUCCAUAAGAUGUAGUUGGAAAGGAAAGACAAAUCUUAAGCAUGUUAAAGAUUUGGGGUUGUGUGCUAAUAAGCAAUAUUUGUUUGAUAACAAUCUUGUAGGAUAUCCUUAAAAUAACUUUUGGAUAUCGCUUCUAUAAACCAACUAACAAAUGUUGUUUUGUUGGGUAGUUCAUUGUAAUUCUACAAUGUGAUUUGCCUAAAAGCAAAUGAACGAGAGAUAGAACUCAAAGAAUGGGUUCUUUGAGAGACAAGAUAGUAAUCAACAAAUAUAACAACCUAGUUCCUAUACCACAAGCUCUAAGGUAGUCGAUAAGAAUGAAAAUCCUUAUGACUACAUUGAGUGCAUAUACGAUAUAUACUCAAGGAAAUGGUAAAGUACCAUUUGACUCGAAAUAAUGAAACCUUCAUAGCUAAUUGGUAGCUUAAGGUAACUACAAUCAAAGAGAAUGGUUGACUUUGAAGAAACCAUCUUUGAGGUAGGCUUGGUUUCAAUUAAUUCGAAGAUUGCUAGCUACAACUAAAAUGGUGAUUCAAUGUUUUGACAUAAUAUGGGUUUCCGAAACCAUUAUUAAGAUAGUCUUGAUAAUAUAUGUCCAAAACUAUAAAUCACAAGACAUGUAAGUUGUAGAGAUCCAUCCAUCAUGGAUCUUAGCAAGUUAGUGGGAGCUAUUUGCAUUUUAUGAGGAAAAAGGAUCAAAUCGUUUGAUUUCUCAUCAAGAUGUAAAUGAAUCUUUUGUUUACGAGUUUUACAAAAGAUUAGUGGGAGUUAAUCAUGUUCCUAAAAUUUAAGUAUAUAUGAUAUAUUAAUUUUUGGAAAUGAAAAGAAUACUUCUUCGAUUAAAGUUAUGACUUUAAUACAUUAUAUGAAGAUAGAAUGUAUAUGGGAGAUAUAGUCUAUAUACAUGGGAUGGAAAUCUAUAAUGAUAUAUUUCAUGAUAUAAUUGGAUUAUAUCAAUCCCUAAUAAUAGACAAUGGAUGCUAGGAAGUUUCUCAUAUGAUGAUAAACUUCAAUAAGAAGGACGAUUCUAGUGAGACUAGCAAGUUGCCCUUCUCAAAGGGAACGUACCCUUUGACUCCCAUAGAAAUAAUGCGUAAAUUGAAUCCUUUAUGCAUAAGCAGAAAGGUGAUUUAUGUAUUUCAUAUUGUAUGAAAAACAUUGAUAUGAGUUGUACCUAGAACGGUACAAGACGAUAUCAGUGCAAGCCCAGGAUCAGAACCGUGGCAACUGUCAAGUGAGUCCUUAAGUAUUUAAGAAAUACUUAAGGAUAGAUUCCUCAAAGAAUGAGGAAGAAUUAGAGUAACGUAAUGGAAGCGUAAAUGUAUUAGAUUAUGAAUCUAAUUCCAUCAUUGGAUGUUUCUUCAUUAUGAAUGAAGAGAUAAACAAAAUAUCUCUUUAUUAUGACUAAAGAGAUAUUUGGAUGGAAACAUUAAAGUAAUGACUUUAGUGUGUUCCAUUAUGAAUGCAAGAUAUAUUGCCAUAUAGAAGUUUACAACAAUGUUGUUUGGAUGGGAAAGUUCAUUUAUGAACUCUCUAUUCGAUUCCAACCAGAAAGUGUAUGACACUAAUGGGGCGAUAGCUCAAGCCUGGGAAUCAAGGUCUCAUCAAGAUCCGAACACAAAUGAGAGACUGAACCACAUGAUUGAGAAUCAUGUAUAAUGGUGACGUCGUUAUUCUCAAGGUUGCUUCUGUGGAUAACACAUAUAGAUAUCCAUUGACUAGGCCUACUACUCAGCCAUUUAUGAAAUGACUACAGAAGAGGUAUCAUCACUGAUGACCAAUGCUGAUUGGCUCUAGUGCAAGUGGGAGAUUGUUGGAAAUGUGCCCUAAAACCAAUCAUAUGAUGAUACUUUACGGACAUUUCAAAUGUUAAACUAAUCUAGUUUAACAUAUAAAGGGCAAAGAUUAUUGUUUGAGCCGUCUCAUAUAAAUGUUAUAUGCUUAAACGAUAAAGUCCAAGGAAUAUGUGAUUGGGAGAAUACAAUCUAAUGAAGUUAGAUUAAUGAGACCAUUCUUUCGUAGACACAUCCUAAAUGUUCCUGAUCAUAGGAUUACCAAUUGGGCAUUGACAGUCCGUUAAGAUCAGUACGUACUGUGUCUUCUCUCAGGGAGAGUGACUAGUCUCGAGUCAUUGGUGUGUGUGACAUCAAGACAAGUACGUAGGUGCUCAAUAAGAGAAUGAGUUCACUGAACGUGAUCAACGAAGAGUUCUUAUAUUCCAUGUCACAUGAGAACUCAUGGUUGGGAUAAUGCAAAGUAGUCCUUUGACCUGAGGCAUCACAGUUGUCUUUGUGGUUAAGUCCUUAAUCUUUGAUUAUGUCUAAUUCACCCCCUCGGGGUGUCACGGCAUCGUUGGGGUUAAGCCACUUAGCUAUGGAGACAAGUAAAUGCGCAACAAGGGAUCUCUAACCUUCAAACAGUUGAGGGAGAAUACUCUAUGAUAUGAUUUGGAAUCUCUGGCCAGAGUAUGAAUGAGAUUGGGGAAUGCGUUCCAAAUCACAUUCAAGGAAAUCAUAUAAGCAAACGAUUCACAUUGGAUAGUAGACAUGAGUAAAUAAACUAUCAUACCAAACAAUGUGGUCAAGAGUAUUAGAUUAGAGAAGGACCGUAUUGCAUUUGUAAUCCCGAACUGAAUAGGUUCUCUAACCUCUUCUGAUUAGCUUGGGUAACCAUGACAUGCUGCUAGGCGUCAACCAUGGUUUGUGGAAGCCCUAUACGUGUAUAACCACUAAAGGGAGAAUUGAAAAUUGUUUCAAUUCACAAUCGAUGUAAAAUGGUUUUAAUCGCCCACUGCCUCGCUAAAAGGAACCUAAUGGAUCGCACACCAUAAAAGGUGGAGAUUGAAGAUUAAACGGAAAUGAGUAAGAAUGAUUAAAUGGUUUAAUCAUUUAUUUAUGGCAAGGAUUAAUUAAUAUGUUAAUUAAUCAAACGAAUAAGUUCGUUAAAGACCUCGGGAUAGUUUUGGACCUUAAGGCCCAAUGGGCUUCGAAAGUCAAGCCCAUUGACUUAAGUUGUAUGACAACUUAAUGAAUAAAGAUUCACAAAGGCCCAAAAGCCCAAAAAUCCAUAGGUAGGCCGGCCAUGAAGAUGAAUUAGGGUUUUUUGGUUGUUUAGGUCACUUAAAGAAGUGACUAUAUAAAUGACUUUAUAGCCAAAUAUUCAUAAUGUGAUUAAGGGUUUAUUUUGGGUGAAAAUGGGUGAGAAUUGUCUCUCCAUUUUCUCUCUAAAGAA
RNAcentral lists this long non-coding RNA (8049 nucleotides) under Malus domestica (apple). Its description in RNAcentral is "long non-coding RNA (MDOM_LNC019987)". The record is from RNAcentral. Lineage: Eukaryota; Viridiplantae; Streptophyta; Magnoliopsida; Rosales; Rosaceae.